GCCCGAUUACAUAGCCCAACUCGUAUAUUCUCGGAAAUAAGGUCCGAGCGUCUCUACCCGGUUCCCAAUGAAAGAACUGGACUACGAGUUAAAGUGCACCCAUA
This 104-nucleotide non-coding RNA is filed under the name Halobacillus halophilus. RNAcentral describes it as "Guanine sequence". It matches the Rfam family "Purine riboswitch aptamer". From Rfam's summary of the family: Riboswitches are metabolite binding domains within certain messenger RNAs that serve as precision sensors for their corresponding targets. The record is from RNAcentral. RNAcentral also lists the same sequence under 1 other name. Lineage: Bacteria; Bacillati; Bacillota; Bacilli; Caryophanales; Bacillaceae.